UACGAAGGGGGCUAGCGUUGCUCGGAAUCACUGGGCGUAAAGGGUGCGUAGGCGGGUCUUUAAGUCAGGGGUGAAAUCCUGGAGCUCAACUCCAGAACUGCCUUUGAUACUGAAGAUCUUGAGUUCGGGAGGUGAGUGGAACUGCGAGUGUAGAGGUGAAAUUCGUAGAUAUUCGGAAGAACACCAGUGGCGAAGGCGGCUCACUGGCCCGGUACUGACGCUGAGGUGCGAAAGCGUGGGGAGCAAACAGG
This 251-nucleotide ribosomal RNA is filed under the name uncultured bacterium. RNAcentral's name for it is "partial 16S ribosomal RNA". It matches the Rfam family "Bacterial small subunit ribosomal RNA", at positions 524 to 776 of the family's 1533-position model. The record is from RNAcentral.